RNAcentral lists this ribosomal RNA (504 nucleotides) under uncultured bacterium. RNAcentral's name for it is "partial 16S ribosomal RNA". It matches the Rfam family "Bacterial small subunit ribosomal RNA", at positions 30 to 523 of the family's 1533-position model. The record is from RNAcentral.
AUUGAACGCUGGCGGCAGGCCUAACACAUGCAAGUCGAACGGUAGCACAGAGAGCUUGCUCUCGGGUGACGAGUGGCGGACGGGUGAGUAAUGUCUGGGAAACUGCCCGGUGGAGGGGGAUAACUACUGGAAACGGUAGCUAAUACCGCAUAACGUCGCAAGACCAAAGUGGGGGACCUUCGGGCCUCACACCAUCGGAUGUGCCCAGAUGGGAUUAGCUAGUAGGUGGGAUAAUGGCUCACCUAGGCGACGAUCCCUAGCUGGUCUGAGAGGAUGACCAGCCACACUGGAACUGAGACACGGUCCAGACUCCUACGGGAGGCAGCAGUGGGGAAUAUUGCACAAUGGGCGCAAGCCUGAUGCAGCCAUGCCGCGUGUAUGAAGAAGGCCUUCGGGUUGUAAAGUACUUUCAGCGGGGAGGAAGGCGGUGAAGUUAAUAGCUUCACCGAUUGACGUUACCCGCAGAAGAAGCACCGGCUAACUCCGUGCCAGCAGCCGCAGUAA